RNAcentral lists this ribosomal RNA (526 nucleotides) under uncultured bacterium. RNAcentral describes it as "bacterial SSU rRNA". It matches the Rfam family "Bacterial small subunit ribosomal RNA", at positions 777 to 1301 of the family's 1533-position model. The record is from RNAcentral.
AAUAGAUACCCUGGUAGUCCACGCCGUAGACGAUGAGUGCUAAGUGUUAGAGGGUUUCCGCCCUUUAGUGCUGCAGCUAACACAUUAAGCACUCCGCCUGGGGAGUACGGCCGCAAGGCUGAAACUCAAAGGAAUUGACGGGGGCCCGCACAAGCGGUGGAGCAUGUGGUUUAAUUCGAAGCAACGCGAAGAACCUUACCAGGUCUUGACAUCCUCUGCCAACCCUAGAGAUAGGGCGUUCCCCUUCGGGGGACAGAGUGACAGGUGGUGCAUGGUUGUCGUCAGCUCGUGUCGUGAGAUGUUGGGUUAAGUCCCGCAACGAGCGCAACCCUUGAUCUUAAUUGCCAGCAUUCAGUUGGGCACUCUAAGGUGACUGCCGGUGACAAACCGGAGGAAGGUGGGGAUGACGUCAAAUCAUCAUGCCCCUUAUGACCUGGGCUACACACGUGCUACAAUGGAUGGUACAAAGAGCUGCGAACCCGCGAGGGUAAGCCAAUCUCAUAAAGCCAUUCUCAGUUCGGAUUGU